UGGGGAAUUUUGGACAAUGGGCGAAAGCCUGAUCCAGCAAUGCCGCGUGUGUGAAGAAGGCCUUCGGGUUGUAAAGCACUUUUGUCCGGAAAGAAAUGGCUCUGGUUAAUACCUGGGGUCGAUGACGGUACCGGAAGAAUAAGGACCGGCUAACUACGUGCCAGCAGCCGCGGUAAUACGUAGGGUCCAAGCGUUAAUCGGAAUUACUGGGCGUAAAGCGUGCGCAGGCGGUUGUGCAAGACCGAUGUGAAAUCCCCGAGCUUAACUUGGGAAUUGCAUUGGUGACUGCACGGCUAGAGUGUGUCAGAGGGGGGUAGAAUUCCACGUGUAGCAGUGAAAUGCGUAGAGAUGUGGAGGAAUACCGAUGGCGAAGGCAGCCCCCUGGGAUAACACUGACGCUCAUGCACGAAAGCGUGGGGAGCAAACAGGAUUAGAUACCCUGGUAGUCCACGCCCUAAACGAUGUCAACUAGUUGUUGGGGAUUCAUUUCCUUAGUAACGUAGCUAACGCGUGAAGUUGACCGCCUGGGGAGUACGGUCGCAAGAUUAAAAGCUCAAAAGG
Molecule: ribosomal RNA, 561 nt
Filed under: uncultured bacterium
Lineage: Bacteria
Description: partial 16S ribosomal RNA
Rfam family: Bacterial small subunit ribosomal RNA
Source: RNAcentral